RNAcentral lists this long non-coding RNA (1309 nucleotides) under Nicotiana benthamiana. RNAcentral describes it as "long non-coding RNA (NBEN_LNC022653)". The record is from RNAcentral. Lineage: Eukaryota; Viridiplantae; Streptophyta; Magnoliopsida; Solanales; Solanaceae.
AAGCCCCGCAAUACCAAGACUGUUUCGAUGCCCAAAAGUUUUUCACCUCCAACAGUAUGCCAAUUCAUUUAACAAGCAUUUACUGAACUUACUCUCCUUGUGACCAGUGUUCAGCAAUUGUUUACAGGAUAUUGAUCAUUUGGAUUCUAAUUCUGACUCAAGUUGUCCUCAUCUAUUUACCUAUUAGUGGGUUCCUGAAUACCUUGUGAGUACAUAUGUUGGCAAUUGGGCUGAUAUUUGGCCUAUUUUGUUUAACAACUUAAAUGGAAAUGGACAAAACACUGCCUAAACUAUGAGCAACAGAACUUAUGGAACGUUUAGAACUAAACUGCUACCUAUAAUUCAACAAUUUACAUCCUUCCUGUUGAUAAACAUAUUCAUUUAAAGCUCUACACACAUCUACUACUAAUUGAACACCAAGCAACUAGUGUUUAACUUUUUACUUCUAUACAAAUCUGAGGGAAGGAAUAGUCCUCAUAUAGUCCGGAUACAAAUCAAAAUGAUUCAAAUCAAUAGAAGUAGUCUAAAUUUAAUUACAGUGAACACUCUAUCAUACACUACAACAAACCACUUAAUAGAACAACAUUAUCAACAUAAUGGAACUACAACAGCUAUUCAACUUCAGUUUCAUUUCAUGAUUUCAACAGAUCGAUCUACAUCAGCACAGGCUCAGAAUAUGUACCUGGAUAAGAGAUUACAAUGACGAAAAGUGGGAGUCAGUUGAGGCAAGAAGAAACACAGCACCAAUUGAGUUCAAACAGCACAAAAUUAUGCCAAAUUUCGACCCAGAAAUAGAUAUAGAGUGCAGCAAUGUUUUGAAAUCAAAAUAGAACCAUUAGAUCAACUAAAAAUCAGCUUGAAUAACCCAUAACCAAUCGAAACCCUCAGUGAAUCACUAAAGCAUCAGAACUCAAAUAUUGGACUAAAAAACUGGAAAUCAAUCACUAAAAAUUGAAAUCAACUUGAAUUCCCUGAUAGAACAGUUCUCUCUAUGUGUAUAUAUAUAUAUAUAUAUAUAUAUAUAUAUAUACACACAUAUAAUAGAGUGUUUUUGAAGGAUUUUCUACUGUUUUUGUUGGGUUUUUUUUUCUUGAAGAAGCUAAGACCUAAGGGAAUUUCAGAUCUGGAAGCUUGGAGAGUAUUUUUGGGGAGGAAUUUUAGGUUGCCAAACUUGUUGAUUAAGGCAUGGGAAUGCCCCUUUUAUAAGCAUCAAUCAGCCUUCACAGAUUUUCUUUCUUUUCAUUUCAAUCCCUUUUUGUUUUCAGUUUAUUCCUCUUAUUCAUGACUUGUUUCCCAAGUGAUUUAUUUU